This is a small nuclear RNA of Talpa occidentalis (Iberian mole), 105 nucleotides long. The record is from RefSeq and is a predicted model, not a curated record. NCBI's taxonomy places the organism in Eukaryota, Metazoa, Chordata, Mammalia, Eulipotyphla, Talpidae.
GCGCUCACUUCGGCAGCACAUAUACUAAAAUUGGAACGAUAGAGAAGAUCAGCACGGCCCCUGCACAAGGACGACACGCAAAAUUGUAAAGCGUUCUAUAUUUUU